AACGCCCCUUGCGCCCUUUGGCUAUUCCGAAGGGCAUGCCUGUUUGAGUAUCAUGAACACCUCAACUCUCAUGGCGCUUGUCAUGAUGAGCUUGGACUUUGGGGGUCUUGCCGGCAUACCGUCGGCUCCUCUCAAACGGAUCAGCUUGCCAGUGUUUGGUGGCAUCACAGGUGUGAUAACUAUCUACGCUUGUGGUUCCCCACCAGGCAACCUCCAGUGAUGGAGGUUCGCUGGGGCUCACAAAUGUCUCUCCUCAGUAAGGACGGCUUUUUGAACGUUUGAUCUCAAAUCAGGUAGGACUACCCGCUGAGCUUAA
Molecule: unclassified non-coding RNA, 316 nt
Filed under: uncultured fungus
Lineage: Eukaryota; Fungi
Description: partial contains 5.8S ribosomal RNA, internal transcribed spacer 2, and large subunit ribosomal RNA
Source: RNAcentral